GAGCGGCGUACGGGUGCGUAACACGUGUGCAACCUACCUUUAUCAGGGGGAUAGCCUUUCGAAAGGAAGAUUAAUACCCCAUAAUAUAAUGAUUGGCAUCAAUUAUUAUUGAAAACUCCGGUGGAUAAAGAUGGGCACGCGCAAGAUUAGUUUGUUGGUGAGGUAACGGCUCACCAAGACUGCGAUCUUUAGGGGGCCUGAGAGGGUGAUCCCCCACACUGGUACUGAGACACGGACCAGACUCCUACGGGAGGCAGCAGUGAGGAAUAUUGGACAAUGGGUGAAAGCCUGAUCCAGCCAUCCCGCGUGAAGGAUUAAGGACCUACGGUUUGUAAACUUCUUUUAUAUAGGAAUAAACCCAGAUACGUGUAUUUGGCUGAAGGUACUAUAUGAAUAAGCACCGGCUAACUCCGUGCCAGCAGCCGCGGUAAUACGGAGGGUGCAAGCGUUAUCCGGAUUUAUUGGGUUUAAAGGGUCCGUAGGCGGACUAAUAAGUCAGUGGUGAAAUCUCAUAGCUUAACUAUGAAACUGCCAUUGAUACUGUUAGUCUUGAGUAUAGUUGAGGUAGCUGGAAUAAGUAAUGUAGCGGUGAAA
This 594-nucleotide ribosomal RNA is filed under the name Adelie penguin guano bacterium 26. RNAcentral describes it as "bacterial SSU rRNA". It matches the Rfam family "Bacterial small subunit ribosomal RNA", at positions 93 to 686 of the family's 1533-position model. The record is from RNAcentral.